GGGGUUGUAACUCAGUGGUAGAGUGUUCGCUUUACAUGCGAAAAGCCCGUAGUUCAAUCCUCCGCAACUCCA
This is a non-coding RNA of Daphnia pulex (common water flea), 72 nucleotides long. The record is from Rfam. Lineage: Eukaryota; Metazoa; Arthropoda; Branchiopoda; Diplostraca; Daphniidae.